Molecule: long non-coding RNA, 588 nt
Organism: Passer domesticus (house sparrow)
Lineage: Eukaryota; Metazoa; Chordata; Aves; Passeriformes; Passeridae
Exons: 3
Source: RefSeq, a predicted model, not a curated record
UGUAGGUGGAAACUGUGGUGACAAGUUUGCCAAGACAUGGCUGCACAAAGACACUCACAGGGACUGGUGUCAGUGUUCCCCAUGGUGCCCUUGCCACAAUCCACAGAGUCUCUGGAAAGAAGGGAGACCUCAAACAGGUGUGCUCAAUAGCAGAGUGAGAAGAAAGAACACUGAGACCCACAGCAAGAGCAGCCCAGAGGCAGGUACUGUUUCACGAGCUGCUGCUGUAGUUCAGCCACCAGCACAUCUCUUCCCAAACCCCUUCUGUGGGGUCUGAUCUUAAAACCAGCAGUGAGAGAGCCUGGUUGAAUUGAAAACUACUUGAGCACUAAGGCUUUCAGCAAAGACCACCCACUGAAACAAAGAAUCACUUUCCUGAAAUGGAAGGGACCAAGCCAUGUAUUCAACCUCUUUCAGUACAGUUCUGUGAUCUUGUGGAGCCUUUGAAUUUUUCUUCACCUACAAAAGGUUUACUACAGAGCAAAUGAGUUCCCAGAGCAGAAAGAUGCUCCUUUUCCAAGGGGAUAUGAGUUGUUGAGGCUUCAGGUAAUGCUUCAAGGUGAGUUGUCAUACGUUUCUAAAAUAAUC